AAGAAGGACAUUUGCUAAUGAAGACUGUGGAAGGGUCUUGCUCUGUCACCCAGGCUGGAGUGCGGUAGUGUGAUCAUGGCUCACUGCGGCCUCCACCUCCCAGGCUCGUGAUCCUCCCCCCUCAGCCUCCUGAGUAACUGGGACCACAGAUGCAGCAGCUUUUUUAUGAGAAUUAUGAGCAGAACAAAAAGGGGUACAUUAGAGAUCUCCAUAACAGUAAAAUUCACCAAGCUAUCACAUUACACCCCAACAAAAACCCACCCUACCAGUACAGGCUCCACAGCUACAUGCUGAGCCGCAAAAUAGCCGAGCUCCGCCAUCGCACAAUACAGCUGCACCGUGAAAUUGUCCUGAUGAGCAAAUACAGCAACACAGAAAUUCAUAAAGAGGACCUCCAGCUGGGAAUCCCUCCUUCCUUCAUGAGGUUUCAGCCCCGCCAGCGGGAGGAGAUUCUGGAAUGGGAGUUUCUGACUGGAAAAUACUUGUAUUCGGCAGUUGACGGCCAGCCCCCUCGAAGAGGAAUGGACUCCGCUCAGAGGGAAGCCUUGGACGA
RNAcentral lists this small RNA (553 nucleotides) under Pongo abelii (Sumatran orangutan). RNAcentral's name for it is "processed transcript". Lineage: Eukaryota; Metazoa; Chordata; Mammalia; Primates; Hominidae. The record is from RNAcentral.